UGCCCAAGAGACUGGGAUAACACCUGGAAACAGAUGCUAAUACCGGAUAACAACACUAGACGCAUGUCUAGAGUUUAAAAGAUGGUUCUGCUAUCACUCUUGGAUGGACCUGCGGUGCAUUAGCUAGUUGGUAAGGUAACGGCUUACCAAGGCAAUGAUGCAUAGCCGAGUUGAGAGACUGAUCGGCCACAUAGGGACUGAGACACGGCCCAAACUCCUACGGAAGGCAGCAG
This 233-nucleotide ribosomal RNA is filed under the name uncultured bacterium. RNAcentral describes it as "partial 16S ribosomal RNA". It matches the Rfam family "Bacterial small subunit ribosomal RNA", at positions 127 to 354 of the family's 1533-position model. The record is from RNAcentral.